CCUACGGGUGGCUGCAGUGGGGAAUAUUGGACAAUGGGCGAAAGCCUGAUCCAGCCAUGCCGCGUGUGUGAAGAAGGCCUUCGGGUUGUAAAGCACUUUCAGUGGGGAAGAAAGCCUUGGGGCUAAUACCCUCGAGGAAGGACAUCACCCACAGAAGAAGCACCGGCUAACUCCGUGCCAGCAGCCGCGGUAAUACGGAGGGUGCGAGCGUUAAUCGGAAUUACUGGGCGUAAAGCGCGCGUAGGCGGUCUGAUAAGCCGGUUGUGAAAGCCCCGGGCUCAACCUGGGAACGGCAUCCGGAACUGUCAGGCUAGAGUGCAGGAGAGGAAGGUAGAAUUCCCGGUGUAGCGGUGAAAUGCGUAGAGAUCGGGAGGAAUACCAGUGGCGAAGGCGGUCUUCUGGACUGACACUGACGCUGAGGUGCGAAAGCGUGGGUAGCAAACAGGAUUAGAUACCCGGGUAGUC
This 465-nucleotide ribosomal RNA is filed under the name Vreelandella stevensii. Its description in RNAcentral is "partial 16S ribosomal RNA". It matches the Rfam family "Bacterial small subunit ribosomal RNA", at positions 338 to 795 of the family's 1533-position model. Lineage: Bacteria; Pseudomonadati; Pseudomonadota; Gammaproteobacteria; Oceanospirillales; Halomonadaceae. The record is from RNAcentral.